This 497-nucleotide ribosomal RNA is filed under the name uncultured bacterium. RNAcentral describes it as "partial 16S ribosomal RNA". It matches the Rfam family "Bacterial small subunit ribosomal RNA", at positions 28 to 507 of the family's 1533-position model. The record is from RNAcentral.
GAUGAACGCUGGCGGCGUGCCUAAUACAUGCAAGUCGAGCGAACGGACGAGAAGCUUGCUUCUCUGAUGUUAGCGGCGGACGGGUGAGUAACACGUGGAUAACCUACCUAUAAGACUGGGAUAACUUCGGGAAACCGUAGCUAAUACCGGAUAAUAUUUUGAACCGCAUGGUUCAAAAGUGAAAGACGGUCUUGCUGUCACUUAUAGAUGGAUCCGCGCUGCAUUAGCUAGUUGGUAAGGUAACGGCUUACCAAGGCAACGAUGCAUAGCCGACCUGAGAGGCUGAUCGGCCACACUGGAACUGAGCCACGGUCCAGACUCCUACGGGAGGCAGCAGUAGGGAAUCUUCCGCAAUGGGCGAAAGCAUGACGGAGCAACGCCGCGUGAGUGAUGAAGGUCUUCGGAUCGUAAAACUCUGUUAUUAGGGAAGAACAUAUGUGUAAGUAACUGUGCACAUCUUGACGGUACCUAAUCAGAAAGCCACGGCUAACUACGUG